This 543-nucleotide ribosomal RNA is filed under the name Fusarium culmorum. Its description in RNAcentral is "eukaryotic LSU rRNA". The stretch from base 190 to 343 matches the Rfam family "5.8S ribosomal RNA". The record is from RNAcentral. Lineage: Eukaryota; Fungi; Ascomycota; Sordariomycetes; Hypocreales; Nectriaceae.
GUAACAAGGUCUCCGUUGGUGAACCAGCGGAGGGAUCAUUACCGAGUUUACAACUCCCAAACCCCUGUGAACAUACCUUAUGUUGCCUCGGCGGAUCAGCCCGCGCCCCGUAAAAAGGGACGGCCCGCCGCAGGAACCCUAAACUCUGUUUUUAGUGGAACUUCUGAGUAUAAAAAACAAAUAAAUCAAAACUUUCAACAACGGAUCUCUUGGUUCUGGCAUCGAUGAAGAACGCAGCAAAAUGCGAUAAGUAAUGUGAAUUGCAGAAUUCAGUGAAUCAUCGAAUCUUUGAACGCACAUUGCGCCCGCCAGUAUUCUGGCGGGCAUGCCUGUUCGAGCGUCAUUUCAACCCUCAAGCCCAGCUUGGUGUUGGGAGCUGCAGUCCUGCUGCACUCCCCAAAUACAUUGGCGGUCACGUCGAGCUUCCAUAGCGUAGUAAUUUACAUAUCGUUACUGGUAAUCGUCGCGGCCACGCCGUUAAACCCCAACUUCUGAAUGUUGACCUCGGAUCAGGUAGGAAUACCCGCUGAACUUAAGCAUAUC